GACGAACGCUGGCGGCGUGCUUAACACAUGCAAGUCGAACGGUGAAGCGCCUUCCUUUUUGGUGGGUGUGGAUGAGUGGCGAACGGGUGAGUAACACGUGAGUAACCUGCCCCCUUCUUCUGGAUAACCGCAUGAAAGUGUGGCUAAUACGGGAUAUUCUGGGUCUGUCGCAUGAUGGGUCUGGGAAAGAUAUUGUUUCGGUGGGGGAUGGACUCGCGGCCUAUCAGCUUGUUGGUGGGGUGAUGGCCUACCAAGGCGGUGACGGGUAGCCGGCCUGAGAGGGUGGACGGCCAGACUGGGACUGAGACACGGCCCAGACUCCUACGGGAGGCAGCAGUGGGGAAUAUUGCACAAUGGGCGCAAGCCUGAUGCAGCGACGCCGCGUGAGGGAUGGAGGCCUUCGGGUUGUGAACCUCUUUCGCCAGUGAAGCAGGCCUGCCUCGUUUGUGGGUGGGUUGACGGUAGCUGGAUAAGAAGCGCCGGCUAACUACGUG
Molecule: ribosomal RNA, 494 nt
Filed under: uncultured bacterium
Lineage: Bacteria
Description: partial 16S ribosomal RNA
Rfam family: Bacterial small subunit ribosomal RNA
Source: RNAcentral